This 294-nucleotide ribosomal RNA is filed under the name Streptococcus pneumoniae. RNAcentral describes it as "partial 16S ribosomal RNA". It matches the Rfam family "Bacterial small subunit ribosomal RNA", at positions 1 to 286 of the family's 1533-position model. Lineage: Bacteria; Bacillati; Bacillota; Bacilli; Lactobacillales; Streptococcaceae. The record is from RNAcentral.
UUUUAAUGAGAGUUUGAUCCUGGCUCAGGACGAACGCUGGCGGCGUGCCUAAUACAUGCAAGUAGAACGCUGAAGGAGGAGCUUGCUUCUCUGGAUGAGUUGCGAACGGGUGAGUAACGCGUAGGUAACCUGCCUGGUAGCGGGGGAUAACUAUUGGAAACGAUAGCUAAUACCGCAUAAGAGUAGAUGUUGCAUGACAUUUGCUUAAAAGGUGCAAAUGCAUCACUACCAGAUGGACCUGCGUUGUAUUAGCUAGUUGGUGGGGUAAGGGCUUACCAAGGCGACGAUACAUAG